GUUUAAAUAGUGUAAUUGCAACACUUAACAUUUUCGUUGUUAAAAUCUUUUUCAGUUUAAAUUUUAU
RNAcentral lists this transfer RNA (67 nucleotides) under Dermacentor nitens. RNAcentral describes it as "tRNA-Glu". Lineage: Eukaryota; Metazoa; Arthropoda; Arachnida; Ixodida; Ixodidae. The record is from RNAcentral.